This 253-nucleotide ribosomal RNA is filed under the name uncultured bacterium. RNAcentral's name for it is "partial 16S ribosomal RNA". It matches the Rfam family "Bacterial small subunit ribosomal RNA", at positions 524 to 776 of the family's 1533-position model. The record is from RNAcentral.
UACGUAGGGGGCAAGCGUUGUCCGGAUUUAUUGGGCGUAAAGAGCGUGUAGGCGGCCAGGUAGGUCUGCUGUGAAAACUCGAGGCUUAACUUCGAGCUGUCGGCGGAAACCAUCUGGCUAGAGUCCGGAAGAGGAGAAUGGAAUUCCCGGUGUAGCGGUGAAAUGCGCAGAUAUCGGGAAGAACACCCGUGGCGAAGGCGGUUCUCUGGGACGGUACUGACGCUGAGACGCGAAAGCGUGGGGAGCGAACAGG